GACGGAGGGGGCAAGCGUUAUCCGGAAUUAUUGGGCGUAAAGGGUACGUAGGCGGCUGUUCAAGGCUGGGGUCAAAGGCCACAGCUCAACUGUGGGAAGGCCCUGGAAACUGACCGGCUAGAGUGAGGUAGGGGUUGCGGGAAUUCCCGGUGUAGCGGUGAAAUGCGUCGAGAUCGGGAAGAACACCUGAGGCGGAAGCGCGCAACGGUGCGUCAACUGACGCUGAGGUCCGCAAGCUAGGGGAGCGAAUGGG
RNAcentral lists this ribosomal RNA (253 nucleotides) under uncultured bacterium. RNAcentral describes it as "partial 16S ribosomal RNA". It matches the Rfam family "Bacterial small subunit ribosomal RNA", at positions 524 to 776 of the family's 1533-position model. The record is from RNAcentral.